Molecule: non-coding RNA, 73 nt
Organism: Mizuhopecten yessoensis (Yesso scallop)
Lineage: Eukaryota; Metazoa; Mollusca; Bivalvia; Pectinida; Pectinidae
Source: the annotation of a RefSeq genome assembly
GACCAGGUAGCUUAAUUGGUAGAGCGUCCGUCUUGAAUUCAGAAGGUCCCGGGAUCGAACCCCGGUCUGUUCC